UGUGGGGGAAGUCAGCAGCUGGAGGCCUCCAUUGGCAACCAGCCCAUCAAAAUUCAUUAGGAACACCAUGAGAAAGGUCAAGUGAAGUGAAGCCUGGGCCUUCAAGCCACCUCCACUGCUCAUUCUGUGUUCAGGCCAGCCAAUGCAAACAGCAUUACUCCUGCAGACUCCGAACUGUCUUGGAAAGAGCAAAGUUUUCAUCUUACCACUCUCAUUUAAAGGACAGAGAAAACCAGUGACUGAUGGUUCAAUGACUAUCUCAUGACUUGCAUGGCGACCCAACUAACAGAAAACUUUGAUCUGAAGUUCUUUGUUCCUUGUCGAUGUUUCUAAGGAAUGGAAGCACUUGGACAGACUUGCUUUUGGAUUUAUCACCUUCAGUAUCAUCAAGCCAGGUUCUCAGGGUUGGUGAUAGAGACCAUUUGUUUUAUCCUGGACAUGGAUGGAAAACAAGAGUCAGUUAGACUGAUUCAAAGUUAUCCCUUCAUCGGCCCAU
Molecule: long non-coding RNA, 496 nt
Organism: Arvicanthis niloticus (Nile rat)
Lineage: Eukaryota; Metazoa; Chordata; Mammalia; Rodentia; Muridae
Source: RefSeq, a predicted model, not a curated record